GAAACGAAGUGGACAGUCGCUGAAUAAACCUUUUAAGGAUGAUUCAGAGGAAAGUCCGGGCUCCAAAGAGUGCAGUGCCGAAUAACAUUCGGGAUGUCGGCUGUAAUGGUCGGCAGACGGACAGUGCAGCAGAAAUAUACCGCCUGCAAGCAGGUAAGGGUGAAAUGGCGAGGUAAGAGCUCACCUGAUAAUCGGCAACGGUUAUGCAAUGUAAACCCCACUGGGAGCAAUGUCAAGCAGAAAGAGAGUUACUCGCUCUGAUAUGAAAAUAUCAAAUCUUUCGGGUAGGCAGCGUCACAAAUUCGGCAACGAAUUUGGCAGAUAGAUGACUGUUUCAAACAAAACCCGGCUUAUUAGCUUUGUUUCUCUU
RNAcentral lists this RNase P RNA (370 nucleotides) under Spirochaetales bacterium. RNAcentral's name for it is "RNase P RNA component class A". It matches the Rfam family "Bacterial RNase P class A". Rfam says of the family: Ribonuclease P (RNase P) is a ubiquitous endoribonuclease, found in archaea, bacteria and eukarya as well as chloroplasts and mitochondria. The record is from RNAcentral. Lineage: Bacteria; Pseudomonadati; Spirochaetota; Spirochaetia; Spirochaetales.